AUACGGAGGAUGCGAGCGUUAUCCGGAUUUAUUGGGUUUAAAGGGUGCGUAGGCUGUGCGUUAAGUCAGGGGUGAAAUGCCGUCGCUCAACGACGGAGCUGCCCUUGAUACUGGCGUGCUGGAGUACGGAUGCCGUUGGAGGAAUGAGUGGUGUAGCGGGGAAAUGCUUAGAUAUCACUCAGAACACCGAUUGCGAAGGCAUCUGACGAAUCCGUCACUGACGCUGAGGCACGAAAGCGUGGGGAUAGAACAGGAUUAGAUACCCUGGUAUUCCACGCCGUAAACGAUGAUGACUAACCGUCGGCGAUAGACAGCCGGUGGCCAAGCGAAAGCGAUAAGUCAUCCACCUGGGGAGUACGUCGGCAACGAUGAAACUCAAAGGAAUUGACGGGG
This 393-nucleotide ribosomal RNA is filed under the name uncultured bacterium. RNAcentral's name for it is "partial 16S ribosomal RNA". It matches the Rfam family "Bacterial small subunit ribosomal RNA", at positions 523 to 918 of the family's 1533-position model. The record is from RNAcentral.